Molecule: microRNA precursor, 83 nt
Filed under: Bombyx mori (domestic silkworm)
Lineage: Eukaryota; Metazoa; Arthropoda; Insecta; Lepidoptera; Bombycidae
Description: mir-2807 microRNA precursor family
Rfam family: mir-2807 microRNA precursor family
Source: Rfam by way of RNAcentral
UUAACUCAAAUUUGUAGGGAGUCGGAACGUUUGCCUUUGUUUGCUUUAGGCGCGCUGUUUCAUCUGCAUAAAAAUUUGUGUUA